This is a non-coding RNA of Klebsormidium nitens, 71 nucleotides long. The record is from Rfam. Lineage: Eukaryota; Viridiplantae; Streptophyta; Klebsormidiophyceae; Klebsormidiales; Klebsormidiaceae.
GGCUAAGUAACAUAAAGGAAAUGUAUUAGACUGCAAAUCUUGAAAUGGUGGUUCGAUUCCACCCUUAGCCU